GGAGUAAACCAUGAAAUUUUUUUUGUCUAUGUGAUGAUAAACAAAACGAUGUCAGCCAAUCAGAAGACGCGUUGCAUCGAGCCAAUAUUAAAUUAAUAUCUUGAAAUAAAUAUAAAACAAAUGAACCAAUUUUAAUUGGGUCAGUCUAGUAUUACUGAUUUCUCAGUCACCUCUAGGAAAUUGGAAAAAAUUAACUCAAACAGAAUAUACAAUAUUGUGCAUCUUUUUCAGUGAUUCUGGUACCCACUUUAAAAUAUGACUGAUGGUACCAGUCUUCAAGGGAAGAGUUCUGGGAAGGAUAAACUUGGUGAAAAAGGAGUAGACAUAUUGGACAUAUUGGAAAAGGGACCAAGUUUUGAACUAAGUUCAGAAAUGGAAAGUUUAGAAUUGGGGUCAAGUGACCAAAGUCUGGAAGUCCAACCCCCUGUUAAGGAUAGCAUAGGUGAAAUAAAAGUGACAUAUUUUUUGAGAGAUAUCAAACCUAAGAUGGUGAAUGCUUGGUCAACUUUGUUUAAAAAUCAUGAAAACAGGGUCAAGGUAAGUUCAUAAGGUCACAUAAAGGUCAACAUUAAAUAAACAUGAUAAGAAGAAGGCUGCAGUAGUGAAAGGCAAUAUGUUUAUAACACAAAUUAUACCCUACACACAUAUUAUUACAAUUUUGGGAUUUUGAGUACAGUUGUGCAGCUGGGAUUUAAAAAACACUUUUCAAUUACUUAAUUUACUUUAAUUUAUAUGAAAUAGUUUUAUAUACCCAUUUAUAUAUCACAAUUGGUCAAUUACUACCUAUUGAUAUAUUUUCUCGGUAAAAUUGCACCCCAUUGAUAUAUUUGACAUAUAUAUAUAUAUAAAAAAAAGAUUCAUUCCAGUCAUGCCAGUGGCACAUAUGAAUAUACCUUCAUAUAGGAAGAGUUCAAGAGACCCACCCACCCUGUGGUCAGAAAUGUUGUAACACUUGUUGCAGUGAUGGAUUCUAUAUUUCUUAAAUGUCUGUCUAAGCAGAGGGGUGUGCUAUUUGGAUUUCCUCAUGCUGUUUCUACAUUAUACUAAACAUGCUAAAGUUGUAAAGAAUUCUAAAAUUUGAUUGAUUUUAUUGAUUUAAUCGUGCCACAGAAAAAAAUAUAAUUAAAUUUCAGAUUUCAUCAGGAGAUAUUUUCCGAGGGGCACCUGAAGCAGAUGCUUUGGUAAGUUAUUUUUAACUUAUUUAAUACUUUGUAAUGACAGUUGAGAAUAUUAAGUUGUAUGAUCACUGGUUAGAUUCAAAAUAGGUGUUACUAUGGUUACAAUAUCAAAAGAUUUGUUAAAUAUCCUAAUGGCCUAGAAUAUUUGAUAAUAAUGGUAAUAAUGAUAUCCUCUAUUUAAAGAGCAUAACCCAAUUAGAAUUUCCUUACAUUUCCCUAUAGGCCCUCAUAAAAUAUUUAACAUGGUCAGAUGGUAUAAACAUGUACAACAAGUAAUAUAUAUACAAACAAGCAGUAUAUAAUAUAUUUAUGCAUAAUCUGUUGUUCAGGGUUUUUUAUGCCUGCCCAAUAGUGCAGAAGGCAUUAAGUUUUGCCCUCGUCUGUACGCACAUCUGUUCAUCUCAAAAUUGGAUUUCCAUUCUCCAACUUUAGUUUGUCACAACAAAAGUUUUGAAUUUUGGUAGUGUCACUUUUUACCAUUUUAGAGUAUUGUCUUUUUAUACACCCAUCUUCUUUUAGACGGGAGGUAUUAUGGUAUACCGUUGUCUGUCUGUCUGUCUGUCCGUCCGUCGUCCACACUUCGGACAAGAACUCAAAAACACUUUCACCACUUUCCAUGAAACUUAAGUGAAUUAUUUAGAUCUAUUGAUGUAAGCUCCCUUUCUUUUUUUUUUAAUUUCAGAUUUUAAGUUUUGGAUUUAUGGGGCUUUAUUCAUAAAAAAGGGGGUCUGUCAUCCACACCUUCGGACAAUAACUCAAAAACACUUUCACCAAUUUCCAUGAACUUAAAUGAAUUGUUUAUAUCUAUUGACGUAAGCUCCCCUUUCGUUGUUUUUUUUUAAUUUCAGAUUUUAAGUUUUGGAUUUAUGGGCGGCUUAUUUCAUAAAAAAGUGCCGUCCGUCGGCCCCACACUUCGACAAACUCAAAAACCACUUUUCACCAAGUUUCCAAUGAACUUAAGUGAAUUGUUUAUAUCAGUGACAUAAGCUCCUUUUGGUUUUUUAAUUUCAGAUUUAAGUUUUGAUUUAUGGGGCUGUUAUUCAUAAAAAAAAAGGGUCGUCGUCCACACUUUCGGACAAUAACUGAAAAACACUUUCACCAAUUUCCAUGCAAACUUAACGUGAAUUGUUUAAUAUUCUAUUGACGUAAGCUCUUCUUUUGCUUUUUUUUUUAAUUUCAGCAUUUAUGUUUUGGAUUUAUGCGGCUUUAUUCAAAAAAAGGGGGGUCCGGUUGUCCACACUCGGUCAAUAACUCAAAAACACUUCACCAAUUUCCAUGAAAACUUAAGUGAUUGUUUAUAUCUAUUGACGUAAGCUCCUUUAAGCUUUUUUUAGCUCACCUGGCCCCAAAGGGCCAAGUGAGCUGUUUCUCAUCAUUGGCGGUCCGGCGUCCGGCGUCCGUUCGUCCGUCGUCGUCCCUUUCGUUUUUUUAAUUUUCAGAAUUUAAGUUGUUGGAUUUAUGGGGCUUUAUUCAUAAAAGUUGGGUCCGUCGCCACACUUCGACAAUUAACUCAAAAAACGCUUUCACCAAUUUCCAUGAAACUUAAGUGAAUUGUUUAUAUCAAUUGACGUAAGCUCCCUUUCGUUUUUUUUUAAAUUUCAGAUUUUAAGUUUUGGAUUUAUGGGGCUUUAUUCAUAAAAAAGGGGGUCCGUCGUCCACACUUCGGACAAUAACUCAAAAACACUUUCACCAAUUUCCAUGAAACUUAAGUGAAUUGUGUUAUAUCAUUGACGUAAGCUCUCUUUUGUUUUUUUUUAAUUUCAGAUUUUUAUGUUUUGGGAUUUUAUUGGACUUUAUUCAUAAAAGGGGUCCGUCGGUCCACACUCUCGGUCAAAUAAACUCAAAAACACUUUCACCAAUUCCAUGAAACUUGAAGUGAAUUGUUAAUUAUCUUUACGUAAGCUCCUUUUAGGUUUUUAGCUCACUGGCCCAAAGGGCCAAGUGAGCUUCUUUCUCAUCCACUUUGCGUUCCGCGACCGUCUCCGUCGUCGCCGGCGUUAGCUUUUACAAAAAUCUUCUCCGCUAAAACUACUGCGGCCCAAAUCAACCAAACUUGGCCACAAUCAUCAUUUGUCAGGGUAUCUAGUUUAAAAAAUUGUGUGGCGUGACCGGUCACCAACCAAGAUGGCCGCCACCGGCUAAAAAUAUAAGGUGUACACACCCUAAUUCAGGCCCGGCAGGAAAGCACAUACCAGAAGUUAGUACAUAUUUAACACAAAAAUAUUCCUACGCAUGCAGGUGAUGACUUUCAAAAAUAUGUAGAAAUUUAGGUUAUUUUUGGUAUCAAAUGAAAGCUGAAGGACUGGUGAUCAUUGUAGAACACUUUUAGACUUUUAAUUUUGAAUAGUAAAAAAAACUGCACCAAAUUUUAAAAAAGAGGUACAUUUUGGUCUGUUUGUCAAUCUGAAGUACCUGUUGGUACAUCUGAAGUUCCGGGAACCAGUUCUUUCUUAUAGCAAGUAUAAGGUAUGUUGAUUUUCCAGUACAAGACACCGAUAAAGUGUUGCUUUGAAAUGCAAUGAUUGCCACUUUAUUUUGAACUUUAAAAUAAAAAGAGGCAUGUGCCUGCUUGAAACGGAGGAAUUUAACAUAGAAAGCAAUGGGACAUGAAUUAGUGGUUACUUCCUAUUACAGAAGAAUCACCAGAAAAUCCAAUUUGUAGAAGUUGUACCUAUUCCAAUGAAAAUGCAUGUCAAAUAUAGGAUGUUAGUAAAUCAUGUCUAAUCAUCUUUUUGGGUCAACCGGCCUGCUUAUGGAAAUAUUAAGCUCUUAAAUUGGGCAUACUCAAAUAUGUAGCUUUUAUGGUCAUAAACAUGGACAUGCAUUAAGACUUGACUCCAAGUUCUCAUUUUUGCAUUUUUUCUGAUUUCAAAUCAAUAAAACAUGUAUUUUAUGGACUUGUUUAUGAAAAAAUAGCUCUUCGGUCAAAAUAAUCUCAUGAUUUUUCAAGUUUUUUUGUUUUUCUUAUGGUAGCCUUUUACAAUCUAGGCAAAUUGGGUAUAUACUCAUAUAAAAUUCUUAAAUCUCACUUACAGUGGGCAAUUUUGGACCAGUGUAGCAGGUUAUCUAGCUGAGGGAUAUUAUUAAAUUGCUCUUAUUUAAUCUAUUGUUUAACCACAGAAUUAUAAUUUCAUGCAAAAAAAAAAGCCUUUUUUCAAUUUCAAAAAAAAAAGGGCGGGAUAAUUUCUCAUUGAUGUCUAAGUUUGGACUUAAUGUAUUUGUUUAUGGGAAUGAAGAACCUCUGAUAAAAAAAUAUGACUAUUAGGUUAAGCACAUAGCUUUCCCUAAUAGAAUUAAUAAAUAAAACAAUGAUAUGAGAAUAAAAAAAAUAUAUUGUGCCAAUGGUAAUAUACAUAUGCAGUUUUUUACUUUGAAUAACCCAUAUGUUUACUACCAGUCCAAUUUGAGCUUUAAAUAAAAAAGUAUUUGGACUAAGGCUUUAUAUGUUUUUUAUUGCUUGAAAAUAGAUCAUAUAAUGAAAUUAAAGUAAUGCUCAAGAUCAAUAUAGCAAGUUUGGUUCUGCUUAUAGUGUAACACACUAAUUUCAGGCCCGGCCAGAAAGCACAUACCAGAAAGUAGUACAUAUUUAACACAAAAUAGUUCCUAACGCAUGAGUUUAUUGUAACUUUCAAACAUAUGUAGAUAUUUAGUAUUUUUGGUAUCAAAUGAAAGCUGAAGGACUGUGAUCAGUGUAGAACACUUUUUGGACUUUUAAAUUUGAAUAGUAAAGAAAACUGCACAAAUUUUUAAAAGAGGUACAUUUUGUUCUGUUUGUCAUAUCUGAAGUACCUGUUUUUGCGUACAUCUGAAGUUCCGUGGGAACAGUUCUUUCUUAUAUGCAAUAUAAAGGUAUGUUGAUUUUUCCAUACAAGACACCAUAAAGUGCUUGCUUUGAAAUGCAAUGAUUGCCAUUUAUUUGAAACUUAAAAUAAAAGAGUUGCGUGUGCCUGCUUGAAACGGAGGAAUUUAACAUAGAAAGCAAUGGGACAUGAAUAGUGGUUGUACUUUCCAUAAACAUUAGGGUAAAAUGCAGGUUUUUGGCUUAUAACUCAAAAACCAAAGCAUCUUAGAGCAAAUCAGACAUGGUGUAAAAUGUUUUAUCAGGUCAAGAUCUAUCUGCCCUGAAAUUUGCAGAUGAAUCGCGUCAGAUCGGUUGUUGGGUUGCUGCCCCGGAAUUUGGGCUUAAUUUUUGAGAAAUUUUGCUUUUUGGUUAUUUAUCUUGAAUAUUAUUAUAGAUAUAGAUAAAAACUGUAAACUAGCAAUAAUGUCAGCAAGGAAGAUCACAAAUAAAGUCAACAUGUACCAAAAUGGUCAGUUGACCCGUUUAGGAGUUAUUGCCCUUUAUAGUCCAUUUUAACAAUUUUUCUAUACUUAGUAAUCUUUUACAAAAAUCUUCUUCUCUGAACCCACAGGGCCAAAUUAAAUCCAAACUUGGCCACAAUCAUCUUUGGUAUCAGUUUUAAAAAGGGUGACGUGAACCGCCAAACAACCAAGAUGGCCGCUAUGGCUAAAAAAUAGAACAUAGGGCAUAAAACGCAGUUUUUGGCCUUAUACUCAAAAAACCAAACCAUUUAGAGCAAAUCUGGACCGGUUGUAAAAUUGUUUAUCGGGUCAAGCAUCUAUCUGCCCGGAAAUUUUCAGAUGAAAUCAGAGAACCCGUUGUGGGUUGCUGUCCCUGAAUUUGGUAAUUUUAAAGGAAAUUUGCUUGUUUUUGCGUUAUUAUCUUGAAAUAUUAUUAUGGAUAAGAGAUAAACUGUAAACAGCAAUAAAGGUUUAGCAAAGUAAGAUUGACAAAUGAAGUCAACAUGACCAAAAAUUGGUCAGUUGACCCCUUUAGGAGUUAUUGCCCUUUAAAGUCAAUUUUUUAACCAUUUUCAUAAAUUUUAUAUAUCUUACACAAAUCAUCUUCUCUAAAGUGGCUAGCCAAAUUAAUCCAAACUUUGGCCACAAUCAUCUCUGCGGGUAUCUAGUUCAAAAAUGUGUGGCGUGGACUGCCCAAACCAACCAAAGAUGGGCCGCUAUGGCCUAAAAAUAGAAACAUAGGGCGUUGAAAUGCAGCUUUGCCGCUUAUAAUCAAAAACCAAAGCAUUUGAGCAAAAUCUACACGUGGUAAAAUUGUAUAUCAGGUUAAGAUCUUAUCUGCCAGAAAUUUCAGAUGAAUCAGAGAACCCAUUGUUGGGUUGCUGUCCCUGAAUUUGUUAUUUUAAGGAAAUGUUUGCUGUUUUUGGUAUUAUUAUCUUGAAAUAUUAUUAUUAGAUAGAGAUAACAAUAAACAGCAAUAGGUCCACAAAGUAAGAUUUACAAAUAAGUCAACAUGACCAAAAUGGUCAAUUGACCCCCAAGGAUGUUAUUUCCUUUAUAGCAAUUUUAAACAAUUUUCAUAAAAUUUGUAAAUUUUUUACUACCCAGGUAACCAUUUUCCACAGAAACUACUGGGCCCAGUUCAUUAUAGAUAGUGAUAAUUGUAAGCAGCAAGGAAUGUUCAGUUAAAGUAAGAUAGUACAAAACACAUCACCAUCACCCAAACAUAAUUUUGUCAUGAUUCCAUCUGCUUCCUUUGUUUGAUAUUCACAUAGACCAAGGUGGCGACACAGGCCUCUUAUAGAGCCUCUAGUUCAUAAAUCUAAGUAAUCUUUUACAAAAUCUUCCACUGAAAACUACUAGUCCACAAUCAUCUUUGGGGUAUCUAGUUUGAAAAAUGUGUCCGAUGACCUGGCCAUUUCAACCAAGAUGGCCGCCACGGCUAAAAAUAGAACAUAGGGGUAAAAUGCAGUUUUUGGCUUAUAACUAUGAAACCAAAGCAUCUAGAGCCAAUCUGACAAGAAGCUUUUAAAUUGUUAAUCAAGUCAAUAUCUAUCUGCCCUGAAUUUUUCAGAUGAAUUGGACAAUGGUUGUUGGGUUGCUGCCCUCCAACUUGGUAAUUUUUAAAGAAAUUUUGCCGUUUUUGGUUAUCUGAAUUAUUAUUAUAGAUAGCCGAUUAAACUGUAAACAGCUAAUAAUGUUCAGCAAAGUAAAUCUAACAAAUAAGUCAACGAUGACCUUAAAUGGUCAAUUGACCCCUUAAGGAGUUAUUGCCCUUUUAUAGUCAAUUUUUAACAAUUUUCAUUAAUUUGUUCAAUUUAUGUAAAAUUUUUACAAAUAUAGUUUCUCUGUUACUAAUGGGCAGUUCAUUAUAUAUAUUAAUUGUAAGAAGCAAAAUCGUUCAGUAAAGUUAAGAACAUUCAAAAACAUCACCACACCAAAAUUACAAAUUUGUCAUAAUCAUUUGGUGUCCUUUGUUUAAUAGUGCACUAGACCAGUUUGAGCGACACAGGCUUUUUAGAGCUCUAGUUUUAUUUUUAGAUUUGAAGUUUUGGAUUUAUGGGGCUUUAUUCAUUAAAAAAAGGGGUUCCGUCUCCACACUUCGGACAAUAACUCAAAAACACUUUCACCAAUUUCCAUGAAACUUAAGUGAAUUGUUUAUAUCUAUUGAUGUAAGCUCCCUUUCGGUUUUUUUUAAUUUCAGAUUUUAAGUUUUGGAUUUAUGGGGCUUUAUUCAUAAAAAAGGGGGGAUUUUCAACACUUUGGACAAUAACUCAAAAACCACUUCACCAAUUUUGAUGAACUUAAGUGAAUCUGUUUAUAUCUAUUACGUAAGCUCCCCUUUCAUUUUCGUUUAAUCAGAUUUUAAGUUUUGGAUUUAUGGCGGACUUUAUUCAUAAAAAAGGGGGGAUUUUCAACACUUCGGACCAAUAACUCAAAAAAUGCUUCACAAUGUCCAUGAAAAACUUUGCGUGGAAUUGUUAUAUCUAUUGACUGUAAGCUCCCUUUCAAAUUUUUAUAAAUUUCAGAUUUUAAGUUUUGGAUUUAUGGGCUUUAUUCAUAAAAAGGGGGGUCCUGUCAUCACCACUUCGCGACAUAUAACUCAAAAACACUUCACCACAUUUCCAUGAAACUUAAGUGAUUGUUUAUAUCUAUUGAGUAAGCUCCCUUUUCGUUUUCUUCUAAUUUAGAUUUUAAUUUUGGAUUUAUGAGGGCUUUAUUCAUAAAAAAAAAGGGGGUACAUCGUCCCACACUUCGGACAAUAACCAAAAAACACUUUCACCAAUUCCAUGAAACUUAAGUGAAUUGUUUAUCAUUCAGUCACAAAGCCUCCCUUUUGGUUUUUUUAAAUUCAGAUUGUAAGUUUUGGAUUUAUGGGCUUUAUUCAUAAAAAAAGGGGGUCUGUCGUCCACACUUCGGACAAUAACUCAAAAAACGCUUUCACCAAUUUCCAUGAAACUUAAGUGAAUUGUUUAUAUCAAUUGACGUAAGCUCCCUUUCGUUUUUUUUUAAAUUUCAGAUUUUAAGUUUUGGAUUUAUGGGGCUUUAUUCAUAAAAAAGGCGUCCGUCGUCCACACUUCGGACAAUAACUCAAAAACACUUUCACCAAUUUCCAUGAAACUUAGUGAAUUGUUUAUAUCUAUUGACGUAAGCUCCCUUUCGUUUUUUUUUUAAUUUCAGAUUUUAAGUUUUGGAUUUAUGGGACUUUAUUCAUAAAAAAGUGGGGAUUUUCAACACUUCGGACAAUAACUCAAAAAGGCUUUCACCAAUGUCCAUGAAACUUUGGUGAAUUGUUUAUAUUUUUUGAUGCAAGCUCCCUUUCAAUUUUUAUAAAUUUCAGAUUUUAAGUUUUGGAUUAAUGGGGCUUUAUUAAUAAAAAAGGGGGGAUUUUCAACACUUCGGACAAUAACUCAAAAAGGCUUUCACCAAUGUCCAUGAAACUUUGGUGAAAUGUUUAUAUCUAUUGAUGUAAGCUCCCUUUCAAUUUUUAUAAAUUUCAGAUUUUAAGUUUUGAUUUAAUGGGGCUUUAUUCAUAAAAAAGGGGGAUUUUCGUCAUCCACACUUCGGACAAUAACUCAAAACCACUUUCACCAAUUUCCAUGAAACUUAAGUGAAUUGUUUAUAUCUAUUGACGUAAGCUCCCUUUCGUUUUCUUCUAAUUUCAGAUUUUAAGUUUGGAUUUAUGGGGCUUUAUUAUAAAAAAGGGGGUUAACAUCGUCCCACUUCGGACAAUAACUUCAAAAACACUUUCACCAAUUUCCAUGAAACUUAAUGUGAAUUGUUUAUAAUCUAUUGACGUAAAGCUCCCUUUGGUUUUUUUUUAUUUUCAGAUUUUAAGUUUUGGAUUUAUGGGGCUUUAUUCAUAAAAAAGGGGGGAUUUUUCCACACUUCGGACAAUAAACUCAAACACUUGUCACCAAUUUCAUUAAAACUUAAGUGGGGAAUUUGUUUAUAUCUAUUGACGUAAGCUCCCCUUUCUUUUUUUUUUAAUUCUCAGAUUUUUAAGUUUGGAUUUAUGGGGCUUUAUUCUUAAAAAAGGGCGGAUUUCAACACUUCGCGGACAAUAACGUCCAAAAAGGCUUUCAUCAAUGUCCAUGAAACUUUGGUGAAUUGUUAUAUAUCUAUUGAUGUAAGCUCCCUUCAAUUUUUAUAAAUUUCAGAUUUAAGUGUUGGAUUAUGGGCUUUAUCAUAAAAAAGCGGGAUUUUACACACUUCGGACAAUAACUCAAAAAGGCUUUCACAAGUCCAUGAAACUUUGGUGAAUGGUUUUUAUCGCUAUUUUGUGCAUGUUUCCUUGAUCUUUUGUGUUGAUAAUUUUCAAUCAUGCUUCUCGCUUGAGUUGCGAAAAUUAUCGCUUAGAAACUAAGGAUGGCCACCUGCGUUGCUAACGAAAUUAACAUUGAAAUUGACAAGUCUCAUAUGGUAAAAUAGCGAUAAAAAGUUAUCAUUGGUAAUCUCAACUCGAUUGCCUGUUCUCACUUUCCUGUACAGCUCAAGCGAAAAAUCAAUCUCGUUGAGCAUAAAUCAACGAUAAUCUAUAAAUAUCUAUUGAUGUAAGCUCCCUUUUAAUUUUUAUAAAUUUCAGAUUUUACAUUUCCGUGUUAUGAAUAUUUAUGCUUAAAAAAGGGGUGAUUUUCCAAUUUUGUUAAAAGACCAACAGGCGUAUCAUGCGCUAAAGUGCAGCCCUUUAUUACAAAUGGAAAUAUUGCUGAAGUUUGCCUAAACCAAAUGUUAUGAAACUUAUACAUAAUGCUCCUUACAUUAUAAGUUUGAAUUUUGGUGGUGUCACUUUUACAGCUCUAGAGUUAUGCCCCUUUACAAAUGGAAAAAAAAUAUAUAUUUUCUUUUUUGUUUUCUAACUUAAGUUUGCCUCAACCAUUGUCAACUAAAUUUUAUGAAAGAUAUACACAAGCCUUUUAACCACAAAACUCAAAUCAAGUUUGUAUAAUUUGGGGGUGUCACUUCAACCAUUCAAGAGUUAUGCACAGUUACAAAUGGGAAACAAGCUGGAUUUUUAGUUUCCUUUCUCCAACUUUAGUUUGCCUCAACCAAAUGUUAUGAAACUUUAACCCCAUGUACACAAUGCUCAUUGCCACAAAACUCAGAUCCAGUACAAAUUUGGGUAGCAUCAGAUCAUGUCAUCACUUUUACAGUUCUUCAGUUAUGUCCCUUUUAACAUUAUAUGCAAGGGAGGGUAUACCUAUGUCCCAUGGACGAAUCCCAAACUUAUCCUCAAAUGGUUCAAGAUAAAAUCUUACAGAUAUUUAUUAUUAUUAUGACAACAAAGGAGAACAAACUAUUAAUUUAAACAUGGUAAAAGGCUAUUGCCAUAUGUUUUCAUUCUGUAAAAUAAGUCCAGUAAACAACAUUGCCAGAUCUGUCAAUUUUUCUAAUUUUAUUUGUUCGUUGUUGAUGUUGAUAAGUGUUUCUUGCUUUUUAUAAAGGUUAUACCAUUGGUUUUCCUGUUUGAAUGGUUUUACACUAGUCAUUUGGAGCCCUUUAUAGCCUGUUAUUUGGUGUGGGCCGAGGCUUCAUGUUGAAGACCAUACUUUGACCUAUAAUGGUUUACUUCUACAAAUUGUGACUUGGAUGAAGAGUUGUCUCAUUGGCUUAUGACGUAUAUCAUAUAAUGUUAACGUUGUGUAACAUUUUAUAUGGCUGAACAAUGGCUUCUAUCAUGUUAUGUUGUUUCGGUGGCUUAAUAAAAGCUUCUUUUAAUUUUCAGGUAUCACCAGCAAAUAGUUUUGGCUUUAUGGAUGGAGGGAUAGAUAUGGUCUAUACUAAUCUGUUUGGAUGGCAAAUGUAAGCGUCUGUAUUUAUAAACCAGUCAAUUUUCUUUUAAUUUUUUUUUACUGAAAGCCAAAUCUCUAUAAUACACCUUCAAUUUGAAAGUAUUUAUAAUGAAGAUGUGGUACUACAUGUAUUGCCAAUGAGACAGCUAUCCACAAGAGUUCCAAGGAAAUGGAUAAUUGCAAUUAAAGGCCACCCUCUAUAUAGCUUUUAACUUUGAGAAAAAUCCCAUUGUAUAUAGUACAGCCAGUAUAAUUGGCUACAAGAGGCCCUGUCAUGAAAUAUUUGAAACAAUUCAAACAAGAAAACCAAUAUCCUAAUUCACAAAAAUACAUGUAUAAUUUAUUAAACAAGUUUAUAUUAAGGAUUUAUCAAUUUUAUAUUAUGCAAUGUUUACAUACAUUGAGAUGAAGGUCUACAAAAGCAAUAAAAGCGCUGUUCCUUUUAUUUUUGUGUGUUUAUUUUAGCAGGCAACUCUCCAUCCAAGUCACAAUUUGUAAAAGUAAACCAUUAUAGAUAAAAGUACAGCUUUCAAUAUGGAGCCUAAGUUGCUCAUACUGAACAGCAAGCUGUAAAAGGCCCCAAAUAUGGCUAGUGUAAAUCAUUCAAACAGGAAAACCCAUAGUUUAAUCUAUAUAAAAAAAAAGGGAAAGGAGAAACAUGUAUAAUAACCGCAUCAACAAACUACAACCAUCUCUGUUUAGAACAUCUCAAGAGUUAUAACAAUGUAUAAUGAUACAAUCCAUGCGUACAAAUCAAAAUCAGCUCUCAGACUUUAAGCUCUCUGCCAGAUAUGUUUCUUUGUCAAAUGCAACAUUUCUUUAUACAAUAUGCUCUUUAUUAUAUUGAAUUUGUACAUGUAUGCAUAGAACAUUUAUUAAAUUUGAAGAAAUAUCAUUUUUCCAAAUUUAAUUAUAACAAUCUGCCUUCUUUGGGUUUUUUUUAAGGCAAGAAAGACUACAGAAAGUGAUACGAGAAGACUAUAAUGGUGAAAAUAUUGUAGUAGGUAUUAAUAUUGACUUUUAAUAUGAUAAACGUAAGUUUUAACUACUAUGUAUGUUGGUACAUGAGUAAAUGAGAUUUAAUGGGAUCGAGGACUAUAUGUCAAUAAGAACAAACUGAAAAAAGAUACCUCUGAGGUCAACUUACUGUAAAUUCAGAAAUUAUUGGGAUGUUUUAUUAUUGCGAAAAUGCUGCAGGGUUAUAAUUACAAAAUUUAAACUCAUUUUAAUAACAAUGAUUUGUAUGAAUUAAACCGUAAUUUUCUCAAUAUCUCAAAAUUUAAAUCGCAUUUUAGUCCAAAAUAAAAAAUUGCCAUAAUAAAUGCAUGAAAUAAUUUCUGAAUUUACAGUACUAUAUCUUAAAGAGAUGCAUUUGCCUUUUAUAGCAUGUAAAGGUUUUGUAAUACUAUCUUAAGGGGGUGGCCAUACCUUUUAUAGGCUCUAAAAGGUUUAAGUUAUAUGUAUACUAUCUUAAAGAAGUGCUUGUACCUUUUAAAGGCUCUAAUCAACUAAGUCACAUGACACAUCUUUUGAAGAGCUGCCAUCAACACCAAAUUAUAUUUUUUUAUAAAUUUUUAAGGCAAUAAAAAUCCGAUAAAGAAUCAGACAGUUUCUGAUUGUAUUCCUGAAAGGCUCAUAAACAUAUGGUAUAUUUAAACAAGGUUUUUAACACACUUUGUUUAGUUGGACCAAUUUAAGCUAUUUUCUCUCACUUAAUAAGAGGAGCAAGAUACCAGAGGGACAGUCAAACUCGUAGAUGGAAAUAUAAACUGACAAUGCCAUAGUUAAAAAAAGAAAAAGAAAAACAGACAAAUAAUAGUACACAAGACACAAACAUAUGAAAACUUAAGACUAAGCAACACUAACCCCACCAAAAACUGGGGGUGAUCUCAGGUGCUUGGGAAGGGUUUAAGCAGAUCCAGUUCCGCAUGUGGCACUAGUCGUGUGCGCUCUCAUUUAAAAUUUACAUUGGUCAUCUCCAUCCAUCUGUUACAUUAUGUACAAUGUAUUGUUCAUUAAAGUUGUUUUACUUUUAGGGAAAUGCCAUUAUUAUUCCAGCUUAUGGUGAAGAGCCAGAUGAAGAAAGAAUUGAAAAUAUGAAGAAAUUUAAUUUAUGUGGUGGAAGGCCAAUAAAGUUUCUAAUUUCUGCUCCAACAAUGAGAGUUCCAAAAGAUGUGAUGAGUACAUCUAAUGCUUUCCUGGCAUUUAGAGCUACAAUCAUAGCUGGUAUGCUUUAAUAAGAAUACAUGUUUCAUUAAAACCAGAGGCAGAUUUAGAGGGUUUCUUAGGGGGCUUAGCCCCCUCUAUUGUGGGAAAAAUUUGUUGAUUUUAUAGGGAAUUACUGGAGCAUGACUGGAGUGGGCCCCCUCUUAUGCAGUGCACCCUUCUCCCUCCCCUUAUGGUAAUUUCUGGAUCCGCCACUGAAAACAUACAAGUACUAGUCAGACGUUAAGGCUUGUUUCUCUUAAACAAAAAAUCUUUAUAAAUUUUAUAUUAAACUUGUCACUUAUGAUGUGGUAACUUGUAAUGAGAGAAAAAUCCUCGUUGAAUUUAAGACUUAAAUUACCUCAAAGGUCAUGGAUAAAUAAAAAAGACCACAGUUUGUGCAGAAAGAUGGUUUCUUGAUGCUAAAUCAAACAUUUCUAGUGGGAUCAAAAUCUUAAUUGGAUUUAUAUUGUCAUUUAUAAUGGGAUAAAUUGAUAUUUAGGUCACUAUAUCUAAGGUCAGAGUCAUACAAAUAAUAGAGUUGUACAAUUUUACUGUCUAAAGUCAGAACAGAAAUGAAUCAUUCCUAAAAGUAAACAGAAUAAAGUUUGCCAUCAGGUCACUAAAAGGGGUUUUCCCUUAAUAUGAUAUGAAGUAAUGGGGUUUGUAAGCCUGCUAAGUAGAUGUUCUUUUACAAAUGUUUUAUUUUGAUUUGUAAUGUGGAAACAAAUUUUUUAUCUCCCUUUUUGAUAACACACUUAAUUUUCACAAUACUCUUCGAGCAUAAUAUUUUUCCUCCGUGUCUUUGUGUAAACUUUGCAUAACAUUGCUUGCAACUUUUUGUUAAAAGUUGGCUUAUUUGUAAUUGCAGUUGAGAAACACAACAGAAACCCAGAAAAUGAACCAAUCAGAAGUGUCCUAUGUCCAGGUCUUGGGACUGCUGUUGGCAGAAUGCCAUUUGACAGAUGUGCUUUCCAGGUUUGUUAUUAAUACUUCAUGAUUGAUUUUACAUGUACACAUGUAUAUGUUCUUAUAAUGUAGGUCAGACAUCUACUAGUUCUCUAGUGUAAAGAAGGAUUGAUUUUACAUAUUACACAUGUAUAUGUUCUAAAUGUAGGUCAGACAUUACUAGUUCUCUAGUGAAACAUAUGUACACAUGUUACCAUGUAUGUCUGUUAGGUCAGACAUCUACUAGUUCUCUAGUGUAAAGAAGGAAUGUUUUACAUAUGUCAUGUAUAUGUUCUUAUGAAUGUAGGUCAGACAUCUACUAUUCUCUAGUAAAGAAGGAUUGAGUUACAUAUGUACACAUGUAUAUGUUCUUAUAAUGUAGGUCAGACACUUAGUUCUCAGUGUUAAAGAGGAUGAUUUGCAUAUGUACACAUGUAUAUGUUCUUAUAAUGUUCAGACGUGUACUAGUUCUCUAGUGAAAAAGAUGAUUUUACAUAUGUACACAUGUAUAUGUCUUAUAAUGUAGUCAGAACAUCUACAGUUCUCUAGAAAGAAGAUUGAUUUUACAUAUGUACACAUGUAUAUGUUCUUAUAAUGUAGGUUCAGACAUCUACUAGUUCUCUAGUGUAAAGAAGAUUGAUUUACAUGUCAUGUAUAUGUUCAGUGUUUCUCACAUGUAUAUGUUCUUAUAAUGUAGGUCAGACAUCUACUAGUUCUCUAGUGUAAAGAAGGAUGAUUUUACAUAGUACACAUGUAUAUGUUCUUAUAAUGUAGGUCAGACAUCUACUAGUUCUCUAGUGUAAAGAAGGAUUGAUUUUACAUAUGUACACAUGUAUAUGUUCUUAUAAUGUAGGUCAGACAUCUACUAGUUCUCUAGUGUAAAGAAGGAUUGAUUUGACAUAUGUACACAUCUAUAUGUUCUUAUAAUGUAGGUCAGACAGCUACUAGUUCUCUAGUGUAAAGAAGGAUUGAUUUUACAUAUGUACACAUGUAUAUGUUCUUAUAAUGUAGGUCAGACGUCUACUAGUUCUCUAGUGUAAAGGAGGAUUGAUUUUACAUAUGUACACAUGUAUAUGUUCUUAUAAUGUAGGUCAGACAGCUACUAGUUCUGUAUUAGUAAUGUAAAGGAGUACGUGGAAUUGUGUUCCUGAAUGUACAUGAAGUAUUUGCCACUGGAUAUCAAGCAUCCAUUGGUCAAUAGUAAUCCUCUCCAUGUUGUUCUAGUUUGAUAGAAAUCAAAGUAGUUGGUCCUCCAAGAUUGGUCAACUGAGAUAGAAGAUUAUAAGAAAGAAGAUGUGGUCUGAUUGCCAAUGAGACAACUCUUCACAAGAGACCAAAUGACACAGAAAUUAACAACUAUAGGUCACUCUUCAGCCUUCAACAAUGAGCAAAUAGCUUAGGGGUUAAAUUGAAUAUUACAUAAACACUAUUUCAAUGAUGUUGAAAUAUUCAUUUGCACAGGGGCGCCAGCCAAAUGUUGUCCAUGCAUUUACUCAUGAACAGUUCAAUCAAAGCUUUUAAAAUUUUAAUAUGUUGUUACUGAUGACAAAAUGGAGGUCAAGAUCAAUAAUAAUGACAAUUUUGACUAUUACCGUUCAGCAGUUAUGGUUCUUGAAAAAUUGAAAAAUGGCGUUUCCAGUCGUAUCUGUGCAUUUACUCAUGAACUAUUCAACCUAAGCUUUUCAAAUUUUAAUAUGUUGUUACUGAUGACAAAAUGGAGGUCAAAUUUGUUAUGGUUCUUGUGAUAUUGAAAAAUGCCAGGACACAAAUAAAUGUUAAUAAAUCCGAUUUGCUGUCUUUGUGACAGCCUCUUGUUUUAUAUCUCUUACCUUUAAGUUGUCAUCAGUCAAGAAUUUCUUGUUUCAUUGUACAUGUAUUUACAUCUAAUAAUAUUUUUUUUAUUCUACAGAUGUUGGAAGCAUUUGAAAUGCAUGAUCUAAAAAUAAAAGACUCAUUAUUAAAUCCUCCUAAUCUGUGGGUAGUGACCAAUCAUAAUGAUUUUAUGGAAGAUGUAAGUUACCAUGGCAACAGAAUUUUACUGCAAGAAUUUCAUUCGAGCCUUUGGAAUCAUAUUAAAAUUUUUAAAAAUAUGCAUAUAUAUAUAUAUAUAUGGCAGUGUCAACAAUUUGCUAAAUGUUUUGAUAAGAUCAAUUUGUAGGGAAGUACUAAUGGUAAUCCAUUAUCUUUUGUAUGCAAUAUAAGAAUUUUCACAUCUCAUUUCCAUGGAAAUUAUCUGGCCUAUUUGAAACUAUUGCAUAGUUAACAUGUUAGUUUGUGACUAUUUCAGUUUAAGAAGAACCAUUAAUGAAAAGUCUUAUAGGAUAUUUGGUAUGCUUAUGAUGUUGUUAAAGAACCACUUAAACCACUUGGCCACCAAGGCCCCAACAACAAAUAGAUUUCUUUACAAUGUGUCUUAUAAGCUCUUAUUUGUUCCAAGUUAAAAACAAAUUGUGAAUAUUAUUAAAAAAAUAUAUAUCAAAUAUCUGCCAUUUAUACCAAAUUCUCAUUUUGUUAUUUCUUUUUUACAGUAUAGUGAAAAAUCAUAAGAGAUUGCAUAAGACUGCCAGGAAAUUAGAAAAAAAAUGAAAAUCAAAUACAAUUUUCCAACUUUUUGAAACAGCUGUUAGCUUUGUAAUCAGAGAUAUCCAUGACUCGUUGUUCAUCCUGUGGUUUGACAGUCACUACAACCAACAAAUAGAAGCUGGAAAAUGAUUUCUCCAGAUUUAUAGCUGUAGAGUUUUUACAGAAUUAUUUAUUCUCUAUGUUCCAGACAAUCACAGCAACUAUAGUAGAUGUUCUAUGGGAGAUAUUAUAAUGUUUAUUGUUAAAUAAUGUAUGCAUUUUUA
This 17271-nucleotide long non-coding RNA is filed under the name Mytilus galloprovincialis (Mediterranean mussel). Lineage: Eukaryota; Metazoa; Mollusca; Bivalvia; Mytilida; Mytilidae. The record is from RNAcentral.